UGCGUGAUGUUGGAGAUCAGAAGAGAAUGAAGCAUUUGUGACUCAACGUGACAUUCAAGGACACUUGGGAAUACGAAAGCUUAUAUAAGAUAUGCAAACACAUGACGAAUGGGGUUAGCAUACCGAAUUCACUAAUUUAAUUACAUCCAUCUCAAAUAUUAACUAACCAUUAAAUCGACCUUUCAUAGCAAAUAUAAACAGACACGCUUUAAUCCAGCGAAGGGUACAAAACCAAGAAUACCAAUUAAAAUAACCGGAGUCUGAUCUCAAACAACGGCAACGAUGUUUCUCAGCACGUUCUUACUCUUCCAAAUCCUCUUUUAAGCUGUUUGC
Long non-coding RNA from Drosophila navojoa, 333 nucleotides. The record is from RefSeq and is a predicted model, not a curated record. Lineage: Eukaryota; Metazoa; Arthropoda; Insecta; Diptera; Drosophilidae.